UAGGGAAUCUUCCGCAAUGGGCGAAAGCCUGACGGAGCAACGCCGCGUGAGUGAUGAAGGUCUUCGGAUCGUAAAACUCUGUUAUUAGGGAAGAACAAAUGUGUAAGUAACUAUGCACGUCUUGACGGAACCUAAUCAGAAAGCCACGGCUAACUACGUGCCAGCAGCCGCGGUAAUACGUAGGUGGCAAGCGUUAUCCGGAAUUAUUGGGCGUAAAGCGCGCGUAGGCGGUUUUUUAAGUCUGAUGUGAAAGCCCACGGCUCAACCGUGGAGGGUCAUUGGAAACUGGAAAACUUGAGUGCAGAAGAGGAAAGUGGAAUUCCAUGUGUAGCGGUGAAAUGCGCAGAGAUAUGGAGGAACACCAGUGGCGAAGGCGACUUUCUGGUCUGUAACUGACGCUGAUGUGCGAAAGCGUGGGGAUCAAACAGG
RNAcentral lists this ribosomal RNA (429 nucleotides) under Actinomycetes bacterium. Its description in RNAcentral is "Actinobacteria bacterium partial 16S ribosomal RNA". It matches the Rfam family "Bacterial small subunit ribosomal RNA", at positions 355 to 776 of the family's 1533-position model. Lineage: Bacteria; Bacillati; Actinomycetota; Actinomycetes. The record is from RNAcentral.